This 380-nucleotide long non-coding RNA is filed under the name Cucumis sativus (cucumber). RNAcentral describes it as "long non-coding RNA (CSAT_LNC001644)". Lineage: Eukaryota; Viridiplantae; Streptophyta; Magnoliopsida; Cucurbitales; Cucurbitaceae. The record is from RNAcentral.
GGUUGAUAAAAAUAUUAUGCUAUCAAAGCAUUGAUAGAUGGAUAAGAUGAGAGGAAAGAGAGAACAUAAUUAUAAAGAAAUGAAGAUGAAUUAGGCUUGUGUAAGAAGGGGUUUAUCCACACGACAUUUUGAAGCUUUGGGAAGCUCCACAUGGCCAUUGAAGCACAUGCGCGUGCCGGCGCGCCCUCCUCACCACUCUUUGCUUCAGCUAUCUCAAGCGCCACACACUCGCCACACAAACAUAUAUGUUCUUCUUCAAAUUACUUUAUAUUAUAUAAUACAUAUAUACUUCUAUUUUAUUCUUUCAUUACUAUUAUCUCUUCCCUCUCUCCUAUCAUCAUCUCAUCUCACCUCUCAUUCUCUUUUAUAAUAAGCUUUUU